RNAcentral lists this ribosomal RNA (417 nucleotides) under uncultured bacterium. RNAcentral's name for it is "bacterial SSU rRNA". It matches the Rfam family "Bacterial small subunit ribosomal RNA", at positions 769 to 1184 of the family's 1533-position model. The record is from RNAcentral.
UUAACCGGAUUAGAUACCCUGGUAGUCCACGCCGUAAACGAUGAUAACUAGCUGUCCGGGGACUUGGUCUUUGGGUGGCGCAGCUAACGCAUUAAGUUAUCCGCCUGGGGAGUACGGCCGCAAGGUUAAAACUCAAAUGAAUUGACGGGGGCCUGCACAAGCGGUGGAGCAUGUGGUCUAAUUCGAAGCAACGCGCAGAACCUUACCAGCGUUUGACAUGUCCGGACGAUUUCCCAGAGAUGGAUCUCUUCCCUUCGGGGACUGGAACACAGGUGCUGCAUGGCUGUCGUCAGCUCGUGUCGUGAGAUGUUGGGUUAAGUCCCGCAACGAGCGCAACCCUCGCCUUUAGUUACCAUCAUUUAGUUGGGGACUCUAAAGGAACCGCCGGUGAUAAGCCGGAGGAAGGUGGGGAUGACG